This 561-nucleotide ribosomal RNA is filed under the name uncultured Flavobacteriia bacterium. Its description in RNAcentral is "bacterial SSU rRNA". It matches the Rfam family "Bacterial small subunit ribosomal RNA", at positions 8 to 570 of the family's 1533-position model. The record is from RNAcentral. Lineage: Bacteria; Pseudomonadati; Bacteroidota; Flavobacteriia.
AGGGUUUGAUCCUGGCUCAGGAUGAACGCUAGCGGCAGGCCUAACACAUGCAAGUCGAGGGGCAGCACGUCUUCGGAUGGUGGCGACCGGCGCACGGGUGAGUAACGCGUAUGCAACCUACCCUAUUCUGGGGGAUAGCCCGAAGAAAUUCGGAUUAAUACCCCAUGGUACUGAGCUGUGGCAUCACAGCUUAGUUAAAGGUUACGGAAUAGGAUGGGCAUGCGUCCCAUUAGCUAGAUGGUAAGGUAACGGCUUACCAUGGCGACGAUGGGUAGGGGGUCUGAGAGGAUGGUCCCCCACACUGGUACUGAGACACGGACCAGACUCCUACGGGAGGCAGCAGUGAGGAAUAUUGGUCAAUGGGCGAGAGCCUGAACCAGCCAUGCCGCGUGCAGGAAGAAUGCCCUAUGGGUUGUAAACUGCUUUUAUCAGGGAAUAAACCUUUCUACGUGUAGGAAGCUGAAGGUAUCUGAUGAAUAAGCACCGGCUAACUCCGUGCCAGCAGCCGCGGUAAUACGGAGGGUGCAAGCGUUAUCCGGAAUCCUUGGGUUUAAAGGGUCC